AAUAGAUACCCCGGUAGUCCACGCCCUAAACGAUGUCAACUGGUUGUUGGAAGGGUUCCCUUUCAGUAACGAAGCUAACGCGUGAAGUUGACCGCCUGGGGAGUACGGCCGCAAGGUUGAAACCCAAAGGAAUUGACGGGGACCCGCACAAGCGGUGGAUGAUGUGGUUUAAUUCGAUGCAACGCGAAAAACCUUACCUACCCUUGACAUGUCUGGAAUCCCGAAGAGAUUUGGGAGUGCUCGAAAGAGAACCAGAACACAGGUGCUGCAUGGCCGUCGUCAGCUCGUGUCGUGAGAUGUUGGGUUAAGUCCCGCAACGAGCGCAACCCUUGUCAUUAGUUGCUACGAAAGGGCACUCUAAUGAGACUGCCGGUGACAAACCGGAGGAAGGUGGGGAUGACGUCAGGUCCUCAUGGCCCUUAUGGGUAGGGCUACACACGUCAUACGAUGGCCGGUACAGAGGGCUGCCAACCCGCGAGGGGGUAGCUAAUCCCAGAAAACCGGUCGUAGUCCGGAUCGCAGUCUGCAACUCGACUGCGUGAAGUCGGAAUCGCU
This 555-nucleotide ribosomal RNA is filed under the name uncultured bacterium. RNAcentral's name for it is "bacterial SSU rRNA". It matches the Rfam family "Bacterial small subunit ribosomal RNA", at positions 777 to 1336 of the family's 1533-position model. The record is from RNAcentral.